GUGAGAAUAGCUUAGAGGGUAGAGCGUGGGCUUGUGGUGCCUAAGGUCAAGAGUUCAAGUCUCUUUUUUCACC
This 73-nucleotide transfer RNA is filed under the name Cliona patera. RNAcentral's name for it is "tRNA-His". It matches the Rfam family "tRNA". Rfam says of the family: Transfer RNA (tRNA) molecules are approximately 80 nucleotides in length. Their secondary structure includes four short double-helical elements and three loops (D, anti-codon, and T loops). Further hydrogen bonds mediate the characteristic L-shaped molecular structure. tRNAs have two regions of fundamental functional importance: the anti-codon, which is responsible for specific mRNA codon recognition, and the 3' end, to which the tRNAs corresponding amino acid is attached (by aminoacyl-tRNA synthetases). tRNAs cope with the degeneracy of the genetic code in two manners: having more than one tRNA (with a specific anti-codon) for a particular amino acid; and 'wobble' base-pairing, i.e. permitting non-standard base-pairing at the 3rd anti-codon position. Lineage: Eukaryota; Metazoa; Porifera; Demospongiae; Clionaida; Clionaidae. The record is from RNAcentral.